This 441-nucleotide long non-coding RNA is filed under the name Gossypium barbadense (sea-island cotton). Its description in RNAcentral is "long non-coding RNA (GBAR_LNC004352)". The record is from RNAcentral. Lineage: Eukaryota; Viridiplantae; Streptophyta; Magnoliopsida; Malvales; Malvaceae.
UUAGCAUUCCUUUUAAUCUUCUGUUUAUGCGUUGUUCCUGAUUCAAAUCAAAUCUCGAGACUCAAUUUUCUCGGAAAUUAAUGAUUUAUUUCUUUUUCUUUUUUAAGGAAGAAGAUAUGGGAAGUGAGUCUUACGAGGAGGCGAUUGCAGCUUUGUCGAAGCUUCUCAGGUAAUGUUACGGUCCGUCCUUUGUUUAAACGAUUCUUAUUUCUGGUCUCGAACCGGAAGAAAAAACAAAACCGAAGAUUUCAUUUUCUGGCACCUAUACUGAUCAGAACAUUAAAAUCUGUAAUGAUGGCUUACCGUCGUCGGUUGCAGUGAGAAAGCUGAUCUCGUAAGUGUUGCCGCUGAAAAAAUCAAGCAAAUAACAGCCGAGUUAGAGGCAGCUGGCAGUUGCGACGCCGACAACCGGAUCAAAACCGGUUUCCUUCAUUUCAAGUC